GCAGUGGGGAAUAUUGGACAAUGGGGGAAAGCCUGAUCCAGCAAUGCCGCGUGAGUGAUGAAGGCCUUAGGGUUGUAAAGCUCUUUCGCCCGCGACGAUGAUGACGGUAGCGUGAGAAGAAGCCCCGGCUAACUUCGUGCCAGCAGCCGCGGUAAUACGAAGGGGGCUAGCGUUGUUCGGAAUUACUGGGCGUAAAGGGCGCGUAGGCGGUUUAUCAAGUCAGGCGUGAAAGCCCCGGGCUCAACCUGGGAAUUGCGUUUGAUACUGGUAGACUUGAGUUCGGGAGAGGUGAGUGGAAUUCCCAGUGUAGAGGUGAAAUUCGUAGAUAUUGGGAAGAACACCGGUGGCGAAGGCGGCUCACUGGACCGAUACUGACGCUGAGGCGCGAAAGCGUGGGGAGCAAACAGGAUUAGAUACCCUGGUAGUCCACGCCGUAAACGAUGUGCGCUAGACGCUGGGAAACUUAGUUUUCCGGUGUCGCAGCUAACGCAUAAGCGCACCGC
RNAcentral lists this ribosomal RNA (503 nucleotides) under uncultured Alphaproteobacteria bacterium. RNAcentral describes it as "bacterial SSU rRNA". It matches the Rfam family "Bacterial small subunit ribosomal RNA", at positions 351 to 872 of the family's 1533-position model. Lineage: Bacteria; Pseudomonadati; Pseudomonadota; Alphaproteobacteria. The record is from RNAcentral.